AUUGAACGCUGGCGGCAGGCCUAACACAUGCAAGUCGAACGAGUGGCGGACGGGUGAGUAAUGUCUUGGAAACUGCCUGAUGGAGGGGGAUAACUACUGGAAACGUUAGCUAAUACCGCAUACCAUCGGAUGUGCCCAGAUGGGUUUAGCUAGUUGGUGGGGUAAAGGCUCACCUAGGCUACGAUCCCGAGCUGGUCUGAGAGGGUGACAAGGGACAGUGGGACUGAGACACGGUCCAGACUCCUAAGGGAGGCAGCAGGGGGGAAUAUGGCGCAAUGGGCGCAAGUCUGAUGGAGCAAUGACGGGGGUAUGAAGAAGGCCGUCGGAUUGUAAAGUACGUUGAGCAGAGAGGCGUUACACAAAGAGGAAGCAACGGCUAACUCCGUGCCAGCAGCCGCGGUAAUAC
This 406-nucleotide ribosomal RNA is filed under the name uncultured bacterium. Its description in RNAcentral is "partial 16S ribosomal RNA". It matches the Rfam family "Bacterial small subunit ribosomal RNA", at positions 29 to 526 of the family's 1533-position model. The record is from RNAcentral.